RNAcentral lists this ribosomal RNA (520 nucleotides) under uncultured bacterium. Its description in RNAcentral is "bacterial SSU rRNA". It matches the Rfam family "Bacterial small subunit ribosomal RNA", at positions 28 to 526 of the family's 1533-position model. The record is from RNAcentral.
GACGAACGCUGGCGGCGUGCCUAAUACAUGCAAGUCGAGCGGACGUUUUACUGGUGCUUGCACCGGUAAAACGUUAGCGGCGGACGGGUGAGUAACACGUGGGCAACCUACCCUAUAGUUUGGGAUAACUCCGGGAAACCGGGGCUAAUACCGAAUAAUACAUCGCACCUCAUGUUGCGAUGUUGAAAGAUGGUUCUGCUAUCGCUAUAGGAUGGGCCCGCGGCGCAUUAGCUAGUUGGUGAGGUAACGGCUCACCAAGGCAACGAUGCGUAGCCGACCUGAGAGGGUGAUCGGCCACACUGGGACUGAGACACGGCCCAGACUCCUACGGGAGGCAGCAGUAGGGAAUCUUCCACAAUGGGCGAAAGCCUGAUGGAGCAACGCCGCGUGAGUGAAGAAGGAUUUCGGUUCGUAAAACUCUGUUGUAAGGGAAGAACAAGUGCAGUAGUAACUGGCUGCACCUUGACGGUACCUUAUUAGAAAGCCACGGCUAACUACGUGCCAGCAGCCGCCGUAAUAC